This is a long non-coding RNA of Ipomoea triloba (trilobed morning glory), 2843 nucleotides long. RefSeq lists it as uncharacterized. Lineage: Eukaryota; Viridiplantae; Streptophyta; Magnoliopsida; Solanales; Convolvulaceae. The transcript is spliced from 2 exons. The record is from RefSeq and is a predicted model, not a curated record.
AUGUAAACACCUCCAUAGUUGCUGAUCUAAUUCUUCGAUAGUUCUUCUUGUAAUUGUUAUCCUAGCUUUGCAGAAUUGUACUCCUAGCACACCAUAGAUGCUGAUGUCGAUUCGAAGUUUUUCUUUUUUUUUUUUCACUCUUUGGCAGGAUUUACCGGCAUUCCUCAAAUUACAACGAUCGGUGUUCCCAAUCUAGAUAAGUAUUUUCAUUCUUUGUGCUUAAACCUAGAUGAUAUUGUAAUUCUUAAAUGAAUUUGUUCGCAUUUGAGGUAGUAUAUAUUUUGAUUUCGUAAUUUUUUGAUUUUUUUAAAGAAUCAUAUGCCGAUUCAUCUUGCAUGUUGUUCUAUUGUGUGAUUUUGGACUUAUCUAUGCUAUUUUGUAGUCAUUCAGGUUUUCAAUUUGUAAAUGUAAGUUCUUGUUUGAAUUACAAUUGCUCCAAAAAAAAACUCCACAGUUUUCCACAGUCUAUGUUGGCUUAGAUCCAUAAUUUCUAUUUUUUUAUCAUCCUACCGUAGUUUUUCCCUAUAUUUCGAAUGUGGAAGAUAAUCUAUAAAUUAUGGAUUUUUUGCUACGAAUUGCUGUAGAAGAUUACAACAAUUGUGAUUGUUGUUCAAUAUUUUCUAAUCUCUGAUCUGUUAUAUGAAUAGUUACUUAUGUUACAUAAUCCCUAAUUUGUUUUAAAUUACUUACACAUACUAUGAAAUAUAUAUAAUGGUAUUUCAAUCUUGCAGUUAAAGGCAGCAUAUGUUGUAUUACAUAUUAAAAUGCUAGGCGGACUUUCAUACUAUAUAGUCAGCAAUUUUGCUUAGGUCAGGUUAAUAUUAAUUGAUAGCUUACAUACCAAAACUGUAAUUGAUAUAAAAUGGUACUUCAAUCUUGCAGGUAAAGGCAACUUAUGUUGUAUUACAUAUUAAAAUGCUAGGCUUUGGACCUUCACACCUCACAGUUAGCAAAUCUGCUGAGGUAAGGUAAUAUUAAUUGAUAGAUUAAGGGUUGGUUACUGUAUUUUUUUAAGUUUGAUUUUACUUAUGUCAAACUAACUACUUAAUCAUGGUUAAGCUAUGUUAAUUUAAAAACUAAUACAAUUAUUACAAUUUGAUUUAUGAGAAUGAUGUACACAGGAUAUAGCAUGUAACUUAGCAACUUUGACAGCAAUGACCAAAUUAAAAUACAUAACUUUGGACCUACCUUAACACCCCACAGUAAUCAAUUCUGAGGAGGUAAGUAAACUACUAAUUUAUUGAUUAAGGGUUGAUUACUCUAUUUUUUUUAAUUUCCUUUUACUUAUAUGCCAAUUGUACUACUUAAUCAUGAUUAUAAUUAUUCAGGAAUUAGAAUUUAAUUUAUCAAAAUGAUAUACACAGGGUUAUAUCAUGUUACUUUUCAAAUUUAUUAUACCCAGUAGGCUUUGAAUAGAUUACAUAUAACUUCAAAACACAGUUCUAACCGCUGUAGUUUUGAUAAACUUUACAAUUUUUUCUAGAACACUUGAUGACCAAUCAGAUUUCAACUUUGACAACACUUUCCCUAAUUUUCUACAAUUCCUUGGUUGAUGAGAACUCAUCCACUAAGGACUUCUUGACAGGGCCUUCAAUACCCUCAUGUGGUAUGGUCAUUCCAAGAGAGGCAACAGAACUGUCUGCCUCAUCACCUAGGAAACCCUGAAAUUUCAUCCAUUAUUUUAAAAAAAAAACCUUUCAGUUACAUGUCAUCGCAUGAUAAUUAAGAACAACUAUCAUUGAGUGAUAGACUGAUUGUUGAUUACCUCAUCAGAAUCAUCAUCCCCAUCACUUAAAUGGUAUUCAGAUGUCAAAUCUUUAUCUUGGGCAUUUAACAGUACUGGGCAAUGUUGAGACACCAAAGUCUGAUCAUUGUUAAUUCUGAGAACUGGAAAUGCAUUGUGUCUGUUGACAUGUUGUUCUUUCCUUGCUGCUUUUCUAAAUAGCAUUGUGUGCCCCCACCAAAUCAAGUAUUUCCUUGGGAAAUUUAUGAGUUCUCUGUUAAAGGUUAAAUAAUUAAUAACAAUUCUACUAUAAGACACUAUUGACAGUAAAAAAAACUUUUAUACUAUUUUUUCUUACCUCAGUAUGCUUGUCCAUCAAGCACUGUGCUCCAAUGCCAAGCAACUCAUUUGCUUCGCUAUUCCAAAGGAGUAAUGAAGCAUAUCCAUUCAUAUCAACAACCCUAAUCCUCAAUCUGUACCUUAAAAUACCAUCACACCAGCCCUUGAGACAUUUAUCACACUUGUUCAUUCCAUCACUGACAAUAAGUUACUUGUUGUAGCCCCUAGUUUUGCAAGAGCUAUAACACCAAUCAUUUGUGCUUUCAAUUCCAGAUAUCAUGAUAGUUAAAAGAUUAAAAAAUAAAGCUACUAAACAUAUCUCGAUGUUUAUACACUACCAUAAAUCAGAAACUACCUCCUCCUCAUAGAUUUCACUUAAAGUAACAACAUUAAUUGAACAACUUGUAGAAUGCUCAAUAGUGUUGCUGUAACUCAGAUUGGACAUGAAAUUAAUACUCCUCAUUGUAGUCUGAUGCUCUAUUUCCCUGAGACUAUUAGGCCAAAAUAUUAAUGAGUUUCUUUUAAAAAGACAGUAAAUACUAAAUAGGUAUGUGUAACUAAAGAAAAAGAUAUCUUUCCUUAAAACUACUAAAUUCAGGAGUAUCCAAGUUAAACAGUACUUGGGUUACAACGUAUGAGGAGCGCAGUUUCACCUCACCGUCUGCAAGUAAUAAUUGAAUAAAGAACUGCAACAACACCACAAUUGGAUCUGUGAAAUCUGAUUGGUAGAAUGGCUCCACUUUAGAGACAUUGUCUACUAUAUGACGGUGCAACACCAAAA